UAGGGAAUCUUCGGCAAUGGACGGAAGUCUGACCGAGCAACGCCGCGUGAGUGAAGAAGUUUUUCGGAUCGUAAAGCUCUGUUGUAAGAGAAGAACGAGUGUGGGAGUGGAAAGUUCACACUGUGACGGUAUCUUACCAGAAAGGGACGGCUAACUACGUGCCAGCAGCCGCGGUAAUACGUAGGUCCCGAGCGUUGUCCGGAUUUAUUGGGCGUAAAGCGAGCGCAGGCGGUUAGAUAAGUCUGAAGUUAAAGGCUGUGGCUUAACCAUAGUAUAGGCUUUGGAAACUGUUUAACUUGAGUGCAAGAGGGGAGAGUGGAAUUCCAUGUGUAGCGGUGAAAUGCGUAGAUAUAUGGAGGAACACCGGUGGCGAAAGCGGCUCUCUGGCUUGUAACUGACGCUGAGGCUCGAAAGCGUGGGGAGCAAACAGGAUUAGAUACCCUGGUAGUCCACGCUGUAAACGAUGAGUGCUAGGUGUUAGACCCUUUCCGGGGUUUAGUGCCGUAGCUAACGCAUUAAGCACUCCGCCUGGGGAGUACGACCGCAAGGUUG
Molecule: ribosomal RNA, 552 nt
Filed under: uncultured bacterium
Lineage: Bacteria
Description: bacterial SSU rRNA
Rfam family: Bacterial small subunit ribosomal RNA
Source: RNAcentral